This 1099-nucleotide unclassified non-coding RNA is filed under the name Triticum aestivum (bread wheat). Its description in RNAcentral is "partial contains internal transcribed spacer 2 and large subunit ribosomal RNA". The stretch from base 224 to 1099 matches the Rfam family "Eukaryotic large subunit ribosomal RNA", at positions 1 to 886 of the family's 3401-position model. The record is from RNAcentral. Lineage: Eukaryota; Viridiplantae; Streptophyta; Magnoliopsida; Poales; Poaceae.
CACGCCAAAACACGCUCCCAACCACCCUCAACGGGAUUCGGGAUGCGGCAUCUGGUCCCUCGUCUCUCAAGGGACGGUGGACCGAAGAUUGGGCUGCCGGCGUACCGCGCCGGACACAGCGCAUGGUGGGCGUCCUCGCUUUAUCAAUGCAGUGCAUCCGGCGCGCAGCUGGCAUUAUGGCCUUUGAACGACCCAACAAACGAAGCGCACGUCGCUUCGACCGCGACCCCAGGUCAGGCGGGACUACCCGCUGAGUUUAAGCAUAUAAAUAAGCGGAGGAGAAGAAACUUACAAGGAUUCCCCUAGUAACGGCGAGCGAACCGGGAGCAGCCCAGCUUGAGAAUCGGGCGGCUGUGUCGUCCGAAUUGUAGUCUGGAGAGGCGUCCUCAGCGACGGACCGGGCCCAAGUCCCCUGGAAAGGGGCGCCUGGCAGGGUGAGAGCCCCGUCCGGCCCGGACCCUGUCGCCCCACGAGGCGCCGUCAACGAGUCGGGUUGUUUGGGAAUGCAGCCCAAAUCGGGCGGUAGACUCUGUCCAAGGCUAAAUACAGGCGAGAGACCGAUAGCGAACAAGUACCGUGAGGGAAAGAUGAAAAGGACUUUGAAAAGAGAGUCAAAGAGUGCUUGAAAUUGCCGGGAGGGAAGCGGAUGGGGGCCGGCGAUGCGCCCCGGCCGUAUGCGGAACGGCUCUUGCUGGUCCGCCGCUCGGCUCGGGGUGUGGACUGUUGUCGGCCGCGCCGGCGGCCAAAGCCCGGGGGCCCUAGGUGCCCCCGGUGGCCGUCGUCGGCACGGCCGGUACCCACGCGCCUAAAGGCGUGUCCCUCGGGGCACUGCGCUGCAACGGCCUGCGGGCUCCCCAUCCGACCCGUCUUGAAACACGGACCAAGGAGUCUGACAUGCGUGCGAGUCGACGGGUUCUGAAACCUGGGAUGCGCAAGGAAGCUGACGAGCGGGAGGCCCUCACGGGCCGCACCGCUGGCCGACCCUGAUCUUCUGUGAAGGGUUCGAGUUGGAGCACGCCUGUCGGGACCCGAAAGAUGGUGAACUAUGCCUGAGCGGGGCGAAGCCAGAGGAAACUCUGGUGGAGGCUCGAAGCGAUAC